This 2848-nucleotide ribosomal RNA is filed under the name Triticum aestivum (bread wheat). RNAcentral's name for it is "partial small subunit ribosomal RNA". Lineage: Eukaryota; Viridiplantae; Streptophyta; Magnoliopsida; Poales; Poaceae. The record is from RNAcentral.
AAGGCAGAAUAGGGUUCCCUAGCCUGCCUCCCGCUUUUACCUCUUAGGUGGUUGGGUUGGUUCAACGCGGGGCGGACGGACUUUACCUAAGUGGUCAGCGUCGUCGCCAGGUAAAGCCGCAGACCGCGUCAGUUGGCGAGCCCAGCAGGUGGGUGCGGAGGCGGAGGUGGAGGGAGGUGAGCGCGUGACCGCCGCGGCCGCCAACGCGUCCGACUGACGAAGGAAGCCUUCCUUAGGAAGGGGUCCGCGCCACGCCGCCGACCGGUCCGACUAACCAUCGACGGGGAGAGGGGCACGCACAUACGAACGAUCGGCUCGCUCGCUCGCUCGCUUGCUCGCUUCUCUCGCGGAAUGGGAGGGCCCGCUUGCCGGUCUCAGGAAGGGCUCCCGCCGUCGAUCCCAAGGAUCGGCGGCAGCCGGGAGGCGCCGCCGCGCGGGUCGGCGGCCAUGUCCUCGAUGCGGCCGCUGGUCAGGCAUCCGUCCAUCGGCUACCUAACGACGAUGACAAUAAUUACACACGUAUAAAAGAUCGACCCGUUGAAGAGUAUUCCUUCAGUUAACCAUGAUGUCACUGAUAUAUUCCUUUCUACCUCGACUAGCCGUAGUAAUACAACCGUAAAGACGAGAGUAAACGUCGCAGACUAGCGGUUCCACUACGUAAUAUACUAUACUUCGACUUCGACUUGCGAUGAUCGUGUGUCGAAUGUCUGACCUUAGUUUUAGUUCAAUUGGGAACGUGAACCUUAAGACAAUAAACACUGUCAUUGUUAUUACAACACGUUCAUUGUAACCGAAGAUACCCCAAGUGACCUCAAGACAGCGGUUCUUAACCUCUGGAGCUCGUAAACUUACAAGACAGGAACGGACCAUUGUUCUAAUGGCCACCGUAUGGGCUCGUCGAACCGUUGGAUAGAUCAAACUGUUCGAAUCUAAACCUUCUUUUAGAUGACCAACCUCUUUAGGGUCGAAGAGAACCGGUAGAAAGCUUCGAGGUUGAGAACUAUGAUUCAGUUUUGUCUGAUUCACCUUGACAAGGAUUAUGUGACCGUUGUUAGAGUUCGAACUGUCUGUAAGCCAACCGGAUGUUAUUAGAGAGGCCAGGUUAUGGACGAGUUGAUAAAGUUCAACGUGCAAUGUUGAAAAGACCGUUAUUGAACUGAACACCUCGUUUGAAGCGAGUAGGAACACGUAGUUCAAGCGGAAUGGUUCCAAGUAGAGCACCAAGCUUUUAUCCGCAACAGGAACCUUGUCAACCACCUCACUAUCCCGACGAGUAAUAUCCCCGAGACAAAUAAUAGACAUUACCUUCCUCUUUUCCAGUAGACGCACUUCAAAAACACCUACAUAGUCCACUCCUACUGGCUUCUUAACGUAAACCCGUCAACUUUUCCAAACGUACCGCUCUUAAUGUUGAGCGAUGACUAUUGAAGUCACUCUUUUUACAAGAACCUGUUCCCCCGAAACCUUUUCAUAUAUUUCCUCGUGAAGGUCUACCGUGAUUCUAUCGGCAUUUCGCCAAUUGACUAAUACUUUCAGGACCACCCCUCCGACGGAAGGACGCACUUCAACUCGACUAAUCACAACGUCAAGUGGCCUUAGAAAAUUCUAACUAACCCAAGACAUGUUGUGUUUGUCUUGCAGAUGAACAAAUAGGAAAGUACGUCUUAGAAUCGCAUCGGAUGGCUAACGCUCUUAAAUUUGGACCCCUUGGUUAUAAUCUAACCUUGCGUUCCUUUGCUCACCGAUAUCCGUGUCGCGCGCCUGACCUCAUGGACGUGCUCGUGACGUUAGGAUUCUAGUAUGUGGCACUACAGUUCCGGCGCUUACAGAACGAACUACUUCCAAAGCUUGGUCAACAACCGCUGAAGCCGAACCGUUUCAACCACCUACAUGUCUUCUGUAGACACUGGUGAGUUCAGGCUCCCUGAUACCCAGUGUAACGUGGUCUUAUAAACAGGUGUCCCUUCAGUAGACUCUCUUGUCUACAAAAGCCGAUACCAUAUUACGAAGAACUUCACCAGUGGCCCGUCGCGCGGUAACUGAAAAGUGCAAACCUCCUUCUUCUACUGCACAAUAAUGAACUAGUACAGUUCUUCGAUGUUUCUCUUCCCUUAGAUCUGCGGUAGCACCUGGCGUUGGACUUGUUGUCGAAGCUGUCCGUCCUCCACCUCUACUACUACGUCUAGCGCGACGACACGUGGGUCCCCAGCGGGCUCCUGGCCGGGAGGUACAGCCUCCACCAUUCCUACGACCUUCCCCUUCCGGACCGCCUCGCCACCCUCCUCACCGUCGUCCAGCUCCACUGCUCCUCCCUCCUGAUGCUCGCCUACGUCGUCGCUAAGCUGACCCCGCUCCUGAGGUAGAUGUUGGUCCUGCGGUAACUUGACAGGCGGCCGUCUAUCCCCACGGUCUGACGAGACGAGCGACAUCCAUUAUUACGGUAAGAAGCAUCGUCUUAACCAGCCUCAGAACAUAUAACACUAUAACAGCAUUCAUUUUUUUUUCUCUCAUCUCAACCGAACGUUACUUUCAAUUUUGUAAAUAUUGAGGGUAGACGAACCGCUUCGGUUCGGCAUGACAAGCCACGUCGUGCACGAAUGACAUACAUUUAGCUAAACAAAACGUAUCGGUAGACGACUUGGAAGUACGCAGCGGGGUAUUCAGGUAUACCUCAACCAACACGACGGCGCGUAGAACGAAACGAGGUACCGGCACGUGUGGAUGUCCGAUGUCGUCGUGAUUAAAAGCAUGAGGUAGGCAGUAUAUUAUAUUCUGCAAAAAACUGUGAUACCUGCCUCCCUCAUGAACCUUUUGUUCUACCACUCUACGUCGACACCGAUAGAAACGA